CUUCCUGUAUAAAUGUUAAAAAAAUAUUGUUUAACAUACCCGCAGUUUAUCAAAAAGUUUUUUAACUUAAACAUUUGAAAAUUAAUUUCGCAAAAAUAAUCCCCACGUUUCUGUAUUGUGUUAUGUGACGAUAUUUCUUAAUUUUGUACUUUUCGAUAAAAGAGAACUUAGCUCUAGUAAUUGUUCCUGAAAAAAAAUAUACAUGUUGAUUAGUUUUCUGACUUCUUACCCAUAUUCGUUCAUUAACAUCAACUGCACGAUCGCUUCUUCUUCAUCUUGUGUCCGUUGCAUUUGACCUAUCAUCUCUUCGUCUUCUCUCUUAUGUGUCUGUUGCUUGUACUGCUGAACUUCAAUUAAUGCUUUUUUAUGCGUCUUCUUCUGUAGAUGAACAAAUAGUUUAUUAGAUUUUAUUUUUGUUUUCAGCACUUUUAUUCUUAUUCUUCCUCAUAUCGACUUGGUCAUAAAUUAUCGAUUUGAAUCAUUGAUGCAUGUUAAAAUCAAUUUUUUUUUUUUAUAUAUUCAUGAUAUGUUUAUAUGAUUUUCUUUUUUUCUUUUUUUUUAAUAUUUGGAACAGGCAAGACCGACAGUCUUCUUCUUAUCUUUGGGAGCAAUAUUUGGCUGUUUUUUUUUUUUUCAUUCAAGAACUUUAUCGUACCGUUACAGUACCGUACCUUGAUGAAAUCAGGAAGUUUGUUUUUUCCUGGUGGUAGCUGGGUAUACCAAACCGAACCAUUUUCUAUUUUCUUUGUUUACCAUAACGUUUUCUUUUUUGAUUGUUUUUCGUUUCAUGGUCAUGUUAUUCAUUCAAGAACUUUUUUGUAUCGCUGGAUACAGUACCUUGACGAAUCAGGAAUGUCUCUAUUCCUGGCGGUAGCUUGGUUUACCAGACCAGACCAUUGAUUUAUUUAUUUUUUUUUUUUCAUUUCUGGACCCAAGGUAUUCAUUAUUGUUUGAUGGCUUAUUUAUUAUUCAUUCAAGCACUAUGUGUAUCAAUGGAUACAGUACCUUGAUGAAUCAGGAAUGCUGCAUUCCUGGUGGUAGCUUGGUUUACCAGACCGCGCCAUUUUCGUUUUUAUCGAUUCUUCGUUUCUUCGCGUUUUUGUUUUUUUUUAUCAUUUCGUGGCAUAUUUAUUUCAUUUAUUAUUUAUAAUUCAUUCAAGAACUUUUUAGCAUCGUUAGAUACAGUAUCUUGAUGAAUCAGGAAUGCUGUAUUCCUGGUGGUAGCUAGGUUUACCAAACCAUGCCAUUUUCGUUUUUCCGUUUUCUUUAGCAUAGUUUUUUUUUCAUAUAUCAUGUUUUAUAUUUCUUGGCAUAUUUAUUAAGCAUAUUAUUUAUUAUUCAUUCAAGAACUUGUUAGUAUCGUUAGAUACAGUACCUUGAUGAAUCAGGAAUAUUGUCAUUCCUGGUGGUAGCUUGGUUUACCAAACCUUUGAUACUCUGUACUUUGGCAAUGUGGGGAAAACAAAACUGUUCAAUUCCAUACUUUUCAUUUUCAAACAUCUCGUUUAAUAUUUUCUGCACAUUCAUUCUGGUGUGCACUAACCUUGUCCAAUCAUUCAUUCUUACAAACAAACAUAGGUAAAUAGAUAAAACUAUUGCCUGAUUUUUAACUUUCCAAAUGGUACAGAAUUUGACGACUCGUCGACAAUGUAAUUUCAAUUAAUAUGCCAUAUUUUUUUUUUAGUUUCCGAUGCCAGAUUUACUCUUUUUUGUAUAUUUUUAUCUUUAUCUUUCUCUAUCCAAUGGAUAUGGUGCACCUUGGUCCGAAUAAUGUUCAUAUGAAUUUGUAUUAAUUGUAUUAAUGGUUCUGUAUCAGCCUCUGGUUGUAUGUAUUUGUCCCUUUAUUCGUUGUUUUUUUUUUAUUAUUAUUUUAUUUUAUUUUUUUGACUUGUCGUAUUCAAAUUAGAAGUAUUCAGCUCAUUCUCGACCUGCUGGAAUUUCGUUACGAUUUUUUUUUUGUAAUAGGGGUAAUUAAUUCAUUUUCGUUAAAAAAUUUCCCAUGGUAUAAACAUGCAUCAAUGUUCAUUAUUUCAUUCAUGUCUUUCUUGAAGAUUUUGGUAGUGUCUCUGUCAUUACUAUGUAAUCCAUGAUGUAAUCUAUUACCUAGGAAACUCGCUAUUAUGUUAUUAAGCGAUACUUUGCUUUAUCAUUUUUGUUAAAAAUAAAAUCUGCAAAUUGAUAGCGCGCUAAAAGCAGCAAUACGAUCGACCGUGUACUCAUUCUUAAAAAAAUACAUGUAUUACUCGUUUCCGUAUAUCUUAAACGUUUUAUUUUAUGUUAUUAUUCCUUUUUUUCAUGAUUUCCAUGUUGAUUGUGAGGAAAUUUCACAUGAUCUUCAUUUUAAACAACCUUUUAUAUUUUUUUUCGAUUUUCAUUUAGUUCAAUCAGAUGUAUUUUUACCUAUACAUUACACAAACUUGAAAAUUUCAUUACUGUUGUAGCCCAAUCAUUUAUACUUUGUUAUGCGAUUGUUUUCUCGAUUUGUUCUCGUUUUUAAACCCCUACAUUUGCAAUGAAUUGAAGGUAUAAUCUAAUUGAUCCCUAAUCAAUGAUGAGAAAAAAAACAAGAUGCGAAUCUAUUCUUGUUUGUUUUUACCACAUGUUUUUUUCCUUGGCAAAUUAAAAUCCAUUAUGUUUAUUGCAAACACACUUCUUCACUCCUUCUCUUCGCACACGAAGGCAUUGACACCCAAAAAUUCUACAGCAACAGUAAUUGCUGCGACAACAGUAAGUGGCUUGUGACGAUAGAAAAUGUGCAUCUGCAAGCAAAACGAAAACGUUGUCGCGUCUCUUUCCUUAUCCGUGAUAGCCGAAAGAAGAGAAAACAAAUUUCAGCUUCAUUCCGUUUUCGACUUGCAGUGCUAUAGGAUACUGGAGAAAAGAACAUGGGAUGUCACAUCGUCUUUAUUUGGGACAUGUAACUUACAGAAUGCUCGGAAGUUAACCAAGUCCUGCGAUAGGAUCCAGGCGUGCUCCGUGCAGUGGACCAUCACCAGGAUAGAGAAAUCCAUCUCUACCCGUACAACAAGGCCAGGGAUUCAGAGUGCAAGGGAAAAAACAUAUACAUAGAAAUUUAUGUAAAAUAAAUUUCAAUCAUUCUAAUCAAUUUCUAAGUGCUUUGAUUGUGUUUAGUUAUCAUUUUUUUUUAAUUUUAGAUACGAUUAAACGUUAGUGUGUUCAAUGGUAGUGUCAGUAAGGGAACGAAAAAGGAAAAAAAUAAACGGUAAGUUUUUCCUUCCUUAUUAUUACUUUUAAGUGUGGUGUUCCCUUAAAAUUUCAUAAAUGUUGAAACCAAGUUAUUUUAUCUUCGCUAGAUAUUUUUUUAAGUGUUAAACAUUAUUCCAGAUUCAAAAUUGGGACGUUUUGAACCAUUCAGUAUGAUUCCCCAUAUCUUAUCUUUUGUCAUGAAAAAUUACGUUGCCUGACAAACUAUUGAAUAUUGCUUCUCAUAUUUUUCAAAUAAUCAAUGUGCUUCUUUUGCUUCCAAUAUGCGUUUCUAGCGAAAGACCGUGAAGUUCUUUCAAGAUUGUGUCACUAUUUCCUGACACCUAAGCAUUCUCUCUGAAUUGGCAAAAUGGAAAAAUAUUUUUUUUUUCAAUGUGACAUAACCUGUCCAAAUGUGGUAAAGGUUUUAUUUUUCUGAAUGCAAUAAGAGAAUUUGAAGUACCUAAAAUAUUCCUCAAGAUGUCUUUCAAAUUGUUAAACAAAUUACAACAUUUCAAAUUGUACUAUUUCGAUCCAAUCAAGAUAGUUUCCCAUAGUUUUUCUUUUGUAUGGACAUCUCGUUACCUGACAGAAAGUCUUUAUACCCAUUCAUGCAGUUAUUUGAAUGCAGUUCUGCUAAUUAAAAUCGCUAUUUAAACAUCAACAUUCUCUAGAUUUGUAUCCGUAUUUGCUUAUGCUAAUCAACCUUUGGAUUUUUUUUUCAAUUUAGUUUUCAUUGAAUCGUUUUAUAUCUGCCAAAUGCUGUGCUGUGUUUUCUUCUGAUUCUGCCAACGUUGUGGAAAUUCUUUAUUAUUAUAUUGUUGAUAUUGAGUAUUGAAUAAGAGCAACAUUUGUCUGAUCAAACCUGGAUAACAAUAUGAUAAUAUUGCAAUGAUCUGUUAAAAAAAAUAAAAUUUUGAUUGGAAGCAAAUUGUUUAAAAUGUUAGUUUCCUUCAAUAUUUUUGUUCAAGGUUUCUUGCAUUCCCCAUGAUAAGUAUUUAAAUUAUUUUGUUUUAUUUUUCAAGGCUUUCAAAACUUUGCAUAAAUUUUCAUGAUAUUCCUGCAUUAUUUUUCAAUAAUUAACAAUAUCAUCUAAAUAAAUGAUGGUUCCUUGAUUUUAUUGUUUCCAGGAAUUUAACAUUUUUUUUCAUGUAGCGUUUAAAGGAUUCCUGGUAACCUUGUUUAUUUUUUUUUUUUGCUGGAAAUUUUGCUAAAAAUUCUCAUAUCUGUUUUUUUUUAAAUCAUGCACUCGGAAAGUACAAACGUUUGAAUUUUCCUUUUGAUUUAAAUGAAGUUGUUUGUUAUGCACUCUGGCAGGAAAUUGAUUGGCACAAAACUCAUCGAAAUACAAAAAUGUCUGCAAUUUAUCAUGAAAUCUAUCUAAUUUUGGAAUGUAGUGGAAAGCCAAUUGCAUUGAGAAAUGUUAUUAAACUGCUGCAGAAAUUGUAGAGAAAAACAAUAAUUGCUUGCUGUAUAAAUUGCAAAAAAGUUGCAAAAUCUGAAUUUGAAAUACUUUAUGUUUUUAAUUUAUGACUUGGCAGAUUGCAGAUUUUUUUUCCUGAUAUGCAGUAAAGUAUAAAAAUGAAUAAAUUACUAAAAAAUCAUUCAUGAGAAUUGGAACUAAUUAUUACUCACCAAAAUGAAGAUAUUUCUUUUAAUAUUUUCCUCAUCCCCUCCUUCUGAACUCAAGAAAGAAAAAAAAACAUUCAGAGUUAAUUGUGACACUUAUUUCUUGUCGCAUUCCAAGCACUUGCAGUAAUAAUUUUCUCUUACUAAUAAAACAUAUGUCUCUUCGAUUCUUUAGAUUUUUGAUCUACAGUCCAUUUUGCACAAAAAUAGUAAAAAACAACGUGUUAACGAAAUAUAAUUUUUUUUUUCAAUUUUCCAAAAGUUUGCUGUUAUCCACUUUUACAGUUCGUCUAAUUUCCACUUUGAAUCAUUUUGAUUAUUCGCUCGCACUACUUUUUUAUUUGCACGCACUAUCAAGUUUCCAAAUUUGCACAGUUUUGCACACCAAUAAAAGUUAAAACCAACUUGAAGAGUUUGGAAAAAAUGUUCUCGGUUUUUGAAAAAGUUUGUUCUAAAAGAGUUCAUUCACUUUACGAGUUCUUCUGAUACUUCAUCCUAACGUGUUUUAAUCAUUUGCACUACUGUUUGAUUUGCACGGUAACAGUACUUUGAUUUGCACAGUUUCGCACCAAUCAGAAAUGACGCACCAAAUUUCAUCUAAAUCUGAAAUUCUUUUUCGCUGUCACCAUCUGUAACCGAAUCGAGCCGUAAACUGUAACCGAACUUAGCUUCUUGUGAAUCGAACUCGUUUCAGUAACCGACCUCCCCACUCACUUUUUUUCAAAAUUGCAACCGAUACUUAGUAAUUCGAACUCGCAGUCUUAAAGAUAUGUCAUCAUUUCAAUAGAUUCACCAACACUUGUUAACACUACACCACUUUAUUCUUCUUUUUAACAAAAAUACUGUCUUACAAGAAAAACCCGACUAACUGACUCAUUGACUAAAUGCACUGAAAACUGAAACACCUGCUAACAGCCUAAACUAAACUGACUACAGAAACUUCUAGGAAAAAAAAUAAUAUGACGAGACCAGCAGUGGCAGCCGCCGCGAUCCUUGGAUCUGCAACCCUUUAUAUAGGGGUCCUCUCCCUAACCAUCAACUCUUAUUCUCCUGAUCAAAGAUUCUCCAGGACUCUCCCCAUACCAAAGAGAAAUUAAUUUCCCAAUGCCCCCAUGCGUAAUUGAUUUUUAAUUACGCUCCUUUCUAAUAUUUGCAUCUCCCCCAUCCGUGAGAGCAAUUCUAAUCUCUCCCCUGCACGGAUGAUCAAUUUUCCCUAUGCCCCCCAUUUCGCCAUCUCACAUCUGCGAGAUUAAUUGAGCCUCCAGAUCGAAUGGCCAAUUUAUUCUCACCUCUGAGAUUCGGACCUCCCAACAACUCUCCCCAAAACAGAAUACAGAAAGGCUAAAUCUCCGAUGCAUCAUAGCAUCCCCCAUCCACAUUCUCACAUCUGUGAGAUCAUACCAAAAUUCUGAGGAGAGCGAAAUUACUCGCGAAUUCAAUCUCAAAAUUUCUUCCCUUAGUGGCUGAGUCAUCAAGGGCCACACCAACCAUCAUCAUCCCCGAACUUGAUUUUUCAUGAACGCACCGGGCGAUCGUAAAUUUAUAGUGUUUACUUUUCUUCGUCACCCGUCUUAGUUUUACGAUCACUCAUGCGUUAGAGUUUUCACGCCUUCUAAGCAUGGAUGCGUGGACGGUCGUCCAUAAACAUAAUUUUACGAUCCAAUUAUGAUCGUCGUCUGUGAUUACCUUUCUCUUUCGGGGAAGGUUAUGCAUUUCCAAGUUUU
Molecule: long non-coding RNA, 6557 nt
Organism: Aedes albopictus (Asian tiger mosquito)
Lineage: Eukaryota; Metazoa; Arthropoda; Insecta; Diptera; Culicidae
Exons: 2
Source: RefSeq, a predicted model, not a curated record